This 246-nucleotide long non-coding RNA is filed under the name Lathyrus oleraceus (garden pea). Its description in RNAcentral is "Pisum sativum (pea) long non-coding RNA (PSAT_LNC032008)". The record is from RNAcentral. Lineage: Eukaryota; Viridiplantae; Streptophyta; Magnoliopsida; Fabales; Fabaceae.
AAAGUGUUUCAAAGUUUAUUAAAUUUGAAUCACAAACUCAAAAUAUUUAGAAAUGUUUUUGAAUCUCCUUAAAUAUUUUCAAAGGUUGUUCAAAUUUCAAGAACUCCGAAAAAUUUCAAUGCCUCUUUAAAUUUAUUGAAAAAUCCUAAAUCUUUUAUAUAUCUUCGGUUCUAAAUUUAGAGAUACAUAUUUAUAAUUAUUAAAAUUAAGUUGAUCUUUAAAGAAACAAAAACAUAAUUCAUAAAU